This 495-nucleotide ribosomal RNA is filed under the name Escherichia coli. RNAcentral's name for it is "partial 23S ribosomal RNA". It matches the Rfam family "Bacterial large subunit ribosomal RNA", at positions 474 to 970 of the family's 2925-position model. Lineage: Bacteria; Pseudomonadati; Pseudomonadota; Gammaproteobacteria; Enterobacterales; Enterobacteriaceae. The record is from RNAcentral. RNAcentral also lists the same sequence under 1 other name.
UCCUGACUGACCGAUAGUGAACCAGUACCGUGAGGGAAAGGCGAAAAGAACCCCGGCGAGGGGAGUGAAAAAGAACCUGAAACCGUGUACGUACAAGCAGUGGGAGCACGCUUAGGCGUGUGACUGCGUACCUUUUGUAUAAUGGGUCAGCGACUUAUAUUCUGUAGCAAGGUUAACCGAAUAGGGGAGCCGAAGGGAAACCGAGUCUUAACUGGGCGUUAAGUUGCAGGGUAUAGACCCGAAACCCGGUGAUCUAGCCAUGGGCAGGUUGAAGGUUGGGUAACACUAACUGGAGGACCGAACCGACUAAUGUUGAAAAAUUAGCGGAUGACUUGUGGCUGGGGGUGAAAGGCCAAUCAAACCGGGAGAUAGCUGGUUCUCCCCGAAAGCUAUUUAGGUAGCGCCUCGUGAAUUCAUCUCCGGGGGUAGAGCACUGUUUCGGCAAGGGGGUCAUCCCGACUUACCAACCCGAUGCAAACUGCGAAUACCGGAGAA